AAAACUAGCCAGUCUUUUGGGUAUGAAACCCAUUUGGGCGAGAAUAGUACUAGGAUGGGUGACCUCCUGGGAAGUCCUCGUGAAAGGGUUUC
Molecule: non-coding RNA, 92 nt
Organism: Triticum aestivum (bread wheat)
Lineage: Eukaryota; Viridiplantae; Streptophyta; Magnoliopsida; Poales; Poaceae
Source: Rfam